AAAAGGUGGCUGCCGGCACGGCAUGUGGUUUUUUGUUGUUGUUGGCAGUCGGCAGUUGGAGUCGGCAUGGCAACAGAAGAAAGAGAGGGGGAGAGAGAAGAGGUGGCGGGGCUCAUAAGAGCAAAGUCAUUUUAGGCCAUAGCCUCACCUUAAUCAAGCGAUGACGUCAACCUCCUAUCGAAGGCUGCUGGACAGCCAUCAGCAGAGGAAACCGUGCUCCCCCAACGCCCUCCUUACUGCCCACUCCCUCCUGAGAUGGGACGCCGGACCAGGACGUGCCAGUUCACGCAGCUGCACGAGGAUCUAUGGUGCCAGUUCCUAUGCUCCUCUCAACCUUUAUGGGCUAAGGCAACAAAGGAGGAGAGAAUUUGCCUACCAUUUCCAGAAACAUCACCAGCAAUUAAUAGAUCCAUCUGUUGACUUCAAUUGCCCAGGCUGUUAGCAUCAACCAAUUCAACCAAAUCCUAACCAGGAUCAAACAAUGGGAAGGAUGUGCUGACCAGCUGCACUAUUGAUGCCAGCCUUCAGUUAAGAGUUCUGGCAGCUCUGCAAUGCAUGGCAAAUACAAUGCACAAAAGCGAGAUCAAUGGCAAAACAGGAAGGGAGGGAAGCAUGCCUAUGAUUUCUAAUUUAAGCAAAUACAACUGGUCCCCAUUGUAUACAGCAAACAAUCACGUCCACCCCUAUUUACAGUGCCUGCAUGUGUCUGUGUACGGAAAUUGCCUCUGCAAACCCUGGUCCCAGAAGUGGCAGAGCAGCCAUGAUACAGAACAAAACCCUUAAGACAGUCAAAAACAAAGUACCGCACUUCAAGCUUGACAGGCACCAAGGGCUUCCCUUCCCUUUCUUCAUUCAACUCUGGCCCCUUCUUCUCUGCCUCAAAGAAAAAUACCUUGGCCUCUUCAACACAAUUUCCUUCUGCUGUAAUGCUAAGAACUGAGAAGCAACAGUCUAAUAUAAAUCAAAGGUAUUUAGUUUACUGACAAUUUUUUAAAUGAAAAAUGCUCCAAGGACAAAUCUCUAUAAUUAACAGGAAGAAGUUGUGGAGGAGAUGAUGUUCCAGUUUUUCUCUUAGCCUGAUCUAGCAGACCGAGAAUCAACAUAAUUAAGAGUAAACAAACCAUCUCAGCCUGUAGCUGCACCGCCAGGGCAAUACACUUCUCCUGCCAUCUGAAUACUCUCCAUAACUUAUUUUCCCUCCUUUCUCUACCCAAAUUGCUUGCAAGUGUGCUGGUGUUCAUUUUCAAAUAAGGCUGUGUAUGUUGGUUAUCUUGAAGCCAAGUGCUUCAAUUCACGCAUUUCUUCAGUCUCUUCCUGUGCUACUGCAGCUGAAGCAGGGGCCAGCUUGGGGAUGUUGUCCACCUCUGGUGGAUGGGGACUCUGUGCAGACCUGGAAAUGAUAUCGCUCCAGCUCUGUGGCUGCCAACUUUGGUGGCGUGUGCUGAGUAAAUGUGACCUUGGUUCUGGUCUCUAGCUAAGACAUGCAAGUGUUUUAUCUUUGGGAACUUGACUUCCCUUCAGAAACCACAAGCCUGCAUCUGAGACAGAGGGUGAGACCAAAUGCAAAGGGAAAAAAUGGUGAAGGAGGGCAGCAGGGAGGAGGUAAGGGUAUGUGUACUUAAUGCACUGUUUAGAUGAUGGGUGUGGACGACAGCUGAGUCUGUCAGCUUCUUAGUUUUCCUUCAUCUCUGGAGUAUCUACUUUUUCUAUAGUGGUAGUAUAGUUAUAGAAUGGGUCAAACCUAGCCCUUGGUGAUGCUCCUUCAGACUUGUUAGUGACUUGUAGUUGUCCUGUUGUCUACAGUCAAUCUGAAAAUGCAAGCAAUGGUACACAUCUCCUUAACCUGUCCUUUAGCAGUGCAUGAGCCCCUGGCUGUUAAGUGGCAUUGAAAAAGAAGCUUUUGAGAGGUAUUUCAAAUUUCCCUUAAUCUGUUUGUUUUGUUGCCUUUUGAUGGCAGGUCAGCUGUUUCCCAAGAGUUGGUGCAAUUGUGUGAAGGAGGUACUAUGGUGGUGAUGCAAUUGCUGAGUGGGGAGAGACAGAAUGUUUGAUUCUCUAAUCUUCCCUUUGUAUAUGGCUUUCACAAUGCUUGAUUUUCUAAUCUUAUUUUUUUCUGUCUUUAAAUAUUUUAAAAUCAAAAACAAAUAAAGAUUAGGAAAGUCAAACA
This 2164-nucleotide long non-coding RNA is filed under the name Struthio camelus australis. Its description in RNAcentral is "lncRNA (ENSSCUG00000010134.1)". Lineage: Eukaryota; Metazoa; Chordata; Aves; Struthioniformes; Struthionidae. The record is from RNAcentral.